Molecule: ribosomal RNA, 310 nt
Filed under: uncultured bacterium
Lineage: Bacteria
Description: bacterial SSU rRNA
Rfam family: Bacterial small subunit ribosomal RNA
Source: RNAcentral
GAUGAACGCUAGCUACAGGCUUAACACAUGCAAGUCGAACGGUAACAGGAAGCAGCUUGCUGUUUUGCUGACGAGUGGCGGACGGGUGAGUAAUGUCUGGGAAACUGCCUGAUGGAGGGGGAUAACUACUGGAAACGGUAGCUAAUACCGCAUAACGUCGCAAGACCAAAGAGGGGGACCUUAGGGCCUCUUGCCAUCGGAUGUGCCCAGAUGGGAUUAGCUGGUAGGUGGGGUAACGGCUCACCUAGGCGACGAUCCCUAGCUGGUCUGAGAGGAUGACCAGCCACACUGGAACUGAGACACGGUCCAG